This 315-nucleotide small nuclear RNA is filed under the name Canis lupus dingo (dingo). RNAcentral's name for it is "7SK RNA (ENSCAFG00020026355.1)". It matches the Rfam family "7SK RNA". From Rfam's summary of the family: 7SK was discovered as an abundant small nuclear RNA in the mid-70s but a possible function has only recently been suggested. Two independent studies have found that 7SK RNA binds the CDK9/cyclin T complex (known as elongation factor P-TEFb). Lineage: Eukaryota; Metazoa; Chordata; Mammalia; Carnivora; Canidae. The record is from Rfam by way of RNAcentral.
GGAAGUGAAGGCAAUUUGGCUGGGAUAUCUAUCACUCCAUUGAUCAGCAGGGUCUAUUGACUAAUCUGGCUGGCUAGGCAUUUUCUCCUUUACUGCUCCAUGUGUGUUCCUCCCAAAGCUGGGCACUCCGUGGAAGAGGACAGUCUUCCCGGAUAGAGGAGUUCUUAAGUCAAGGAUAUGAGUGGCUGUGCUCUCCUGUUCGAGCCACCAAACAAGCUCUCAAGGUCCAUUCAUAGGAGAAGGUGGGAUGGUCAAGCUUUCAAGACUCUAGACACAUCCAAUUGAGAAGCUGCAUGUGGCAAUCUGCCUUUCUUU